GAUGAAGAACGUAGCGAAAUGCGAUACUUGGUGUGAAUUGCAGAAUCCCGUGAACCAUCGAGUCUUUGAACGCAAGUUGCGCCCGAAGCCAUCAGGUUGAGGGCACGUCUGCCUGGGCGUCACAUAUCGUUGCCCAAUGCCUAUUGCAGUGCAAUAGGAAUUUCUAGGGCGAAUGAUGGCUUCCCGUGAGCGUUGUUGCCUCGCGGUUGGUUGAAAAUCGAGUCCUUGGUAGGGUGUGCCAUGGUAGAUGGUGGUCGAGUUAGAACGAUACCGAUCAUGUGCAUGCUCCCCAAAAUAUGGCCUCUAUGACCCACACGCGUCUUUUGACGCUCAUGACGAGACCUCAGGUCAGGCGGGGCUACCCGCUGAAUUUAAGCAUAUCAUAAGCGGAGA
Molecule: unclassified non-coding RNA, 393 nt
Filed under: soil metagenome
Description: partial contains 5.8S ribosomal RNA, internal transcribed spacer 2, and large subunit ribosomal RNA
Rfam family: 5.8S ribosomal RNA (bases 1-122)
Source: RNAcentral